AUGCAGAGGAAGCUGAGAGCUGUGCUGGGGAUUCUGUGGGUGCAGAUUUGCUGGGUGAGAGGAGUUGAGGUGGAGCAGAGUCCUUCAGCCCUGAGUCUCCACGAGGGAACCAAUUCUACAUUGACAUGCAAGUUUUCUACAACCAUGAAUACUGUGCAGUGGUUCCGGCAGAAUCCCAGGGGCAGCCUCAUCAAUCUCUUUUUCCUGACUCCAGGAACAAAGGAGAAUGGGAGGUUAACUGCAACAUUCAAUUCUAAGGAUCGCAAUAGCACCCUGCACAUCAGGGACGCCCAGCUGGAGGACUCAGGCACCUACCUCUGUGCAGUGAGUGCACAGUGCUCCCAGCCAGCCUGCAGCCUGGCCCCCAACUGCCCCCAAACUGCAGCUGGGUGUGCAGCUACAGCCCUGCCACAGGGAGACUCUGCAGGAGGCUUUUGUGCAGCUGUGGCCUUAUCAGAUCUCCACCAAUUACAAGGAAGGUGUGAGGAAACAGAAAAUUCCACAGCAGAAGUUCACACUUAA
This is a non-coding RNA of Cricetulus griseus (Chinese hamster), 522 nucleotides long. NCBI's taxonomy places the organism in Eukaryota, Metazoa, Chordata, Mammalia, Rodentia, Cricetidae. The record is from the annotation of a RefSeq genome assembly.